AAAGUCGUAACAAGGUUUCCGUAGGUGAACCUGCGGAAGGAUCAUUAUAGAUUUCUGCGCGUAUUUUCGCGCAUGUAUUUAAAACCCCACUCUUAUAAAUCAUAUAUUUUACUUUUAAGUAAAAAAAAAGAUCACUUUCAACAACGGAUCUCUUGGUUCUC
Molecule: unclassified non-coding RNA, 161 nt
Filed under: Glomeromycotina sp.
Lineage: Eukaryota; Fungi; Glomeromycota
Description: partial contains small subunit ribosomal RNA, internal transcribed spacer 1, and 5.8S ribosomal RNA
Rfam family: Eukaryotic small subunit ribosomal RNA (bases 1-47)
Source: RNAcentral